CUACCUAUCAGAGGGAAUAACCCGGCGAAAGUCGGACUAAUACCGCAUAAAACAGGGGCACCGCAUGGUGAUAUUUGUUAAAGAAAUUCGCUGAUAGAUGGGCAUGCGUUCCAUUAGGGUAGUUGGUGAGGUAACGGCUCACCAAGCCGACGAUGGAUAGGGGAACUGAGAGGUUGGUCCCCCACACUGGUACUGAGACACGGACCAGACUCCUACGGGAGGCAGCAGUGAGGAAUAUUGGUCAAUGGGCGGGAGCCUGAACCAGCCAAGUCGCGUGAAGGAAGAAGGAUCUAUGGUUCGUAAACUUCUUUUGCAGGGGAAUAAAGUGCAGGACGUGUCCUGUUUUGUAUGUACCCUGAGAAUAAGGAUCGGCUAACUCCGUGCCAGCCGCAGC
RNAcentral lists this ribosomal RNA (394 nucleotides) under uncultured bacterium. RNAcentral describes it as "bacterial SSU rRNA". It matches the Rfam family "Bacterial small subunit ribosomal RNA", at positions 126 to 518 of the family's 1533-position model. The record is from RNAcentral.